UGAAUACGAGACGCUACGGCGUCGAAGCAGUCUAUGUCAUACUUCCAAGAAAAGCUUGCACUGUCAUAAACAAACAAUGCCUGUACCAUAACCGACACAGGUGGGUAGGUAGAGUAUACUAAGGGGCGCGAGAUAACUCUCUCUAAGGAACUCGGCAAAAUGACUCCGUAACUUCGGGAGAAGGAGUGCCUUAUUUAUAAGGUUGCAAUAACAAGAUCCAAGCAACUGUUUAUCAAAAACACAGGUCUCCGCUAAGUCGUAAGACGAUGUAUGGGGGCUGACGCCUGCCCAGUGCCAGAAGGUUAAAGAAGUUGGUUAGCAUUAGCGAAGCUGAUAACUGAAGCCCUGGUGAACGGCGGCCGUAACUAUAACGGUCCUAAGGUAGCGAAAUUCCUUGUCGGGUAAGUUCCGACCCGCACGAAAGGCGUAAUGAUUUGGAUACUGUCUCGGAGAGGGGCUCGGUGAAAUAGACUUGUCUGUGAAGAUGCGGACUACCUGCACCUGGACAGAAAGACCCUAUGAAGCUUUACUGUAACCUGAAAUUGAAAUUGGACUUUAUUUGCGCAGUAUAGGUGGGAGGCGUUGAGAAUAUUCUUGCGGGAAUAUUGGAGCCAUCAGUGAGAUACCACUCUUGUAAUGUUAGAUUUCUAACUUUGAAUCAUUAUCUGGUCAAAGAACAGUUUCAGGCGGGCAGUUUGACUGGGGCGGUCGCCUCCUAAAUGGUAACGGAGGCGCACAAAGGUUUCCUCUGAACGGGUAGAAAUCGUAUCUAGAGUGUAAAGGCAUAAGGAAGCUUGACUGUGAGACCUACAAGUCGAGCAGGGACGAAAGUCGGUCUUAGUGAUCUGACGGUGCUGAGUGGAAAGGCCGUCACUCAACGGAUAAAAGUUACUCUAUGGAUAACAGGCUGAUCUCCCCCAAGAGUUCACAUCGACGGGGAGGUUUGGCACCUCGAUGUCGGCUCAUCGCAUCCUGGGGCGGUAGUACGUCCCAAGGGUUGGCUGUUCGCCCAUGAAAGCGGUACGCGAGCUGGGUUCAGAACGUCGUGAGACAGUUCGGUCCAUAUCCGGUGUAGGCGUUAGAAUAUUGAGAGGAGCCUUCUUUAGUACGAAAGGACCGAGAAGGACAUACCUCUGGUGUACCAGUUAUCGUGCCAACGGUAAACGCUGGGUAGCUAUGUAUGGAGAGGAUGACCGCUGAAAGCAUCUAAGUGGGAAGCCCACCUCAAGAUAAGUAUUCUCAUC
This 1244-nucleotide ribosomal RNA is filed under the name metagenome. RNAcentral describes it as "bacterial LSU rRNA". It matches the Rfam family "Bacterial large subunit ribosomal RNA", at positions 1564 to 2818 of the family's 2925-position model. The record is from RNAcentral.